AGAGUUUGAUCAUGGCUCAGAAUCAACGCUGGCGGCGUGCCUAACACAUGCAAGUCGAACGCGAAAGUGGAGCAAUCCAUGAGUAGAGUGGCGAACGGGUGAGUAACACGUGGGUGACCUACCUUCGAAUGGGGGAUAACGUCCCGAAAGGGACGCUAAUACCGCAUAACAUCCUGUCCUUGAACGGAUGGAGAUCAAAGCCGGGGAUCGCAAGACCUGGCGUUUGGAGAGGGGCCCGCGUCCGAUUAGCUAGUUGGUGAGGUAAUGGCUCACCAAGGCGACGAUCGGUAACCGGCCUGAGAGGGCGGACGGUCACACCGGGACUGAGACACGGCCCAGACUCCUACGGGAGGCAGCAGUGGGGAAUUGUUCACAAUGGGCGCAAGCCUGAUGACGCAACGCCGCGUGGAGGAUGAAGGUCUUCGGAUUGUAAACUCCUGUUGCUCGGGACGAAAAGCUUCGACCUAACACGUCGAAGUCUGACGGUACCGAGUGAGGAAGCCCCGGCUAACUCUGUGCCAGCAGCCGCGGUA
RNAcentral lists this ribosomal RNA (533 nucleotides) under uncultured Acidobacteriota bacterium. RNAcentral describes it as "bacterial SSU rRNA". It matches the Rfam family "Bacterial small subunit ribosomal RNA", at positions 8 to 522 of the family's 1533-position model. Lineage: Bacteria; Pseudomonadati; Acidobacteriota. The record is from RNAcentral.